Molecule: ribosomal RNA, 468 nt
Filed under: uncultured bacterium
Lineage: Bacteria
Description: partial 16S ribosomal RNA
Rfam family: Bacterial small subunit ribosomal RNA
Source: RNAcentral
GACGAACGCUGGCGGCGUGCUUAACACAUGCAAGUCGAACGGAAAGGCCCUGCUUUUGUGGGGUGCUCGAGUGGCGAACGGGUGAGUAACACGUGAGUAACCUGCCCUUGACUUUGGGAUAACUUCAGGAAACUGGGGCUAAUACCGGAUAGGAGCUCCUGCUGCAUGGUGGGGGUUGGAAAGUUUCGGCGGUUGGGGAUGGACUCGCGGCUUAUCAGCUUGUUGGUGGGGUAGUGGCUUACCAAGGCUUUGACGGGUAGCCGGCCUGAGAGGGUGACCGGCCACAAUGGGACUGAGAUACGGCCCAGACUCCUACGGGAGGCAGCAGUGGGGAAUAUUGCACAAUGGGCGGAAGCCUGAUGCAGCAACGCCGCGUGCGGGAUGACGGCCUUCGGGUUGUAAACCGCUUUCGCCUGUGACGAAGCGUUAGUGACGGUAAUGGGUAAAGAAGCACCGGCUAACUACGUG